Physeter macrocephalus (sperm whale) is the source of this 602-nucleotide long non-coding RNA. RefSeq lists it as uncharacterized. The record is from RefSeq and is a predicted model, not a curated record. Lineage: Eukaryota; Metazoa; Chordata; Mammalia; Artiodactyla; Physeteridae. The transcript is spliced from 3 exons.
GCCGAGAGCACCCCUCCUGCGCAGCUCACAAAUAUUUGAAAUAUUACUACCUGAUGUCAACUUGAUUGUCAACAUAAAAUGGGCGUAGCAUUCAGUUACAAGACAGUUAUCCAGAUGAUUCAGAAGGUGAACUGAACUUGACCAUGAAUGAGCAGUGAAGACUGCGCCCCGAGCAGAAAGACUAAGAAGUGUGACUUACACCACCAAGUCCCUUGUGCCAUCUUGAUUCCAAUUCAGCCUUCUAAUUCUCUAAUAUUCCUGUGAAUAUUCCUCGUUUCAUCUUUGUAGCCACAUGAGAGAAGCUAGAGGAAGGAGGAUAACCUGAACAAUGCAGAGGGAAAGAAAUUGAGGAGAGCAGCUGUCAAAAGGAGAUUAGAGCUUAUUCGAUGCUUGUAUCCUCAAAAUCUUUAUUUUCACAGUGAACACUUGUGGGAGAAGUCAAAAUUUAAAGUUUUCUGAGGAGAGGUCAAAUUUAAAGGUAGACCCCUAAUCCUGUGAGUUAUUUCCUCUUUUAUGAUUUUUCAGCUUGUUGAAGUAGGGGGAUGGGACCUUACAGUGUCUAAGGAGUGUCUUUCUUUUUUAUGCCUAUUAAAAAUAACUUU